Molecule: RNA transcript, 2361 nt
Organism: Prosopis cineraria
Lineage: Eukaryota; Viridiplantae; Streptophyta; Magnoliopsida; Fabales; Fabaceae
Gene name: protein HESO1-like
Exons: 11
Source: RefSeq, a predicted model, not a curated record
UAGAAGGUGGGAGGGGCCGUGUGUGUUGCAUUCGGGAAGCCAACGUGGCACUCAGUGUUUGCGCGACGCAGAGCGGCAGAGCAGAGAAACGCAUCAAAUACAAAAUUUCACUGUCAAAGUGAACGUUAUCUGCUUAUCUUACAAUCAAUCAAAGGUUCCAAACUUGGGACUUGGAAGCCGAAUCGAUCUGCGCGACGUUCGUGGUUCAUUCCUACAUCAAUCUCAAGGAUAUGGAACUCGGUGAUAUAGACCUGCUAACGGAGGCAAUGAAACUUGAGUCUGAGGUAUUAGCUACUAUCAAGCUUAACCCUGCACAUCUUUCUGGUGGGCUUGAUAAGCUGCUUAAGGAUGCUUAUACUAUACGAUGCCCGAAACCUAUUGAUUAUUUCAACAGGAAGGAUUUAAUUCGUAUCUUCAAUAUUAUAGCAAAGGAAGUAUAUGGCAAUGGCAGUACCUCCCCAGUUGUGGAAGAAUAUGGCUCUUAUGUUAUGGAUAUGUUCUGUGGUGGAAGUGAUCUGGAUUUGUCUAUAAAUUUCAGAAACAAUUCAAAUGAAGUUCCUCGGCAGAAGAAAAUUGAAACCCUUCGAAAGUUUGCUAAGAAGUUCCAUAAAUUUCAAAGAAAAGGAAUUGUUAGAGGUGUACAGGCCAUUCUGAAUGCUAGGGUGCCAAUUGUAAAAGUUAUUGAUUGUGGUACUGGCAUUGAAUGCGAUUUAUCAGUAGAAAACAGGGAUGGCAUUGAGAAAUCUCAUAUUAUUCAUGCAAUUUCUCUUAUAGAUGAAAGAUUUCAGAAGUUAAGUUUUCUGAUGAAAUGCUGGGCAAAAGCACAUAACAUCAACAGUUCCAAAGACCAUACUCUGAACUCUUUAUCUAUUGUCUCUUUAGUUGCUCUUCAUUUGCAGACUCGCAAUCCUCCUAUAUUGCCUCCAUUCUCUGCUUUGCUUAAGGAUGGAUCUGAUCCAGCAGCAGUGAAGAAGGUUGUUAACGAUUAUAUGUCCUUUGGGCAAAAAAACGUAGAGUCGUUGGCUGAGCUUUUUUUAACUCUUUUUGUCAAGCUAGCGUCAGUUGAAAAGCUUUGGGAGAAAGGCCUGUGUGCAAGCUUGCAUCAAGGAUCAUGGAUUCGUAAAUCAUGGGGUUCUCGUACUUACUCAAUAAGUGUUGAGGAUUUUACAGAUCGGUCUCAAAAUGUUGCAAGAGCAGUUGGAACUGAAGAGGUAAAAACAAUCUACAGAUGCAUUCGUGAAUCUCUCAACUACUUUUCAGAUUAUCUGAACGGAAGGAUGUUGGGAACUAAGUUGAUUGAUCUUUUGUUUGGAGGAGAUACUCCUUCCACCACUGGCCUUGUCGGUGCUGGGAACAUAGACAACAAUACGAAGAAUCUUCCUAUUUCAGAAAAUCAGCGUCCACCAAAAAGGCAGAGAUUCGUGGAAGAUUUAGAAAGAAAGCAGAUUCAGAAACCUAGUGAGGGAAACUAUCUUCCCCAUGGUAAUCAAAGAGCAGAGCCAUGGAAAGGUUCUGUACUAGCCCAUCAGGUAGAUGUCCUUCAGGGUGGGACCUUCCAACCUCCUCCUGUUUCGAGUUCCUAUAAUAAUUUGCCUCAUGGUUACGGUCUAGGGACAGCUCCUUCUGCUUCUGCCCAAAAUCUACUAGGUUUUGGAGGUUCUUUUAACUCCCCGCUACUAUCAAAUCUUGUUCCCCUUCUGAAUUCCAUGGGUUGUCUGGGGGCAUUUCAUCAACAACAUGUCCAUCCAAAUCAAUCUCUUGUACCCAUUCAUUCGCACAGUCCUUUUGUGAGUAAUAAUCUAUAUCAAGGAGAACCAUCCAGUUCACAUGCACAGAAGUGAUAAAUUUCCUUUUCUGCCCCUCUCUCGUUGUCUCUUGUAUGUACAUUGAUUGUUACCUCUCUUGGUAAGACUACAGUCACUAGAAUUCACAAGUAAACCACCAAUCCUCAAGCCCCUUCUUGCUUGACUAACAAAAGGCAGUAUUACGAAGAGAUGAAGAUGUUGACUAGCAUCUAAAUGUUGGAAUCUGAAGUUGCAGAAAUGCUUUUAUGACGCAACCAAUUGUUUAUAAGAUUCUCACAGGUCACUUCCUGACGCUGGGCAGAGAUGAUUGAUGCUGACUCACCUUUCUUAGCUGAGCUUCUUGGGUUAGCAGAGCCUGCUUCCCUCUUCUUGCAGAUGCCAAAUCUGGACGGCUCAAUUUUUUUUUCAUUUUAUAUUUUUUAAAAUUUUUAUGAAUUAUAAAUUUUUUUAAUAAUUUACCUAUUUAUAUAAUUCAUGUUUAAUAUGAAUGGCCACAUUUAAUUUAUAAAAAUUAUAAAAAAAUUUAAUAUUAAACUUGCAAUGUCCAAAAUAUAUU